Mytilus californianus (California mussel) is the source of this 1121-nucleotide long non-coding RNA. RefSeq lists it as uncharacterized. The record is from RefSeq and is a predicted model, not a curated record. NCBI's taxonomy places the organism in Eukaryota, Metazoa, Mollusca, Bivalvia, Mytilida, Mytilidae. The transcript is spliced from 4 exons.
AAACUUACCGUCAUAACACAGAAGCUGAUGUACAUGUUAACAACGAAGUGCUGACUAACUACAGAAUAAAAACGAAUACGGAAAACACCCUAAAUCAUAAAAGAGGCACAGCCGAACAACGUAUUAUAUGCUAGCCGAAGAGAUCGACGCACAAUGUGACAUCACAUAUAAAUUUCUAUCAAUUUCCAAACAAUAGGAUAUAGUUCAAGAUUAGGUUGGUACAUAACACUGCGAGGAGAUAACUCAGUAAAAAUCAGCUGAACGUUUUAAUUAUGUUUUAUUGUUAAAGAAAUAUUUAGCUUUUCAAUGAUCAAAAUAAGUGCAGGUCAUGCCUCUAAAUAUCAAGUGACACUUUUCCAAUAAAUUGUGUAGUUCAAGUUCUUUGAAAAUUUCCAUAUUUUGUCUAAAUUUUGUGAAAAUUAAACGAGCCAAAUUAAUUUUAGUAAAGGUGUUUGUUAACAGCAUAAGUUAAGGAGAUUGGCUUUCUUGUUGUAGAGUUUUUGGUUGAAAAAAAGGUGCCAAUGUUAAAUGUAUGACAUUUCUAGAGAAAAUCUUUUCCCGCUACAUUGCCAAAGGCUUAUAUCUUGAAAAGAAGCACAUGCAUCCUUAUUCUUGUUGAGCUUUUCUAGUUUCUUUAUUUAUAUGCUAUCAAUGUAUAAUCAGUCUUUUAAAAACUUGUUAUUUUGAGAAAGAAUAUCGAACAUCCUUAUAGACUAUGUAAUCAAGGCAACAUCAGUAUACCGCUGUUCGAAAGACAUAAAUCUAUUGAAACAAAACGAAUCCAGGAUACAAACUUACACCGAGGUAAACACAUCACUUAUAAGAGGAAAACAAAUGAUCAACAGAAACAAUAAAGUGCAACAAAAACAAAGGAUUGCAAAUACAGACAACACGUAACAACCCAUGGCUUACUCAUGACAGCAUUUAGCAACAGUUAAAAAUGAAUCGUUUGCUAUAGCAUAAAAUGUAAAGCUCUCAAUUAGUGGGUUUAUUUCUUUUUCAAUGAGGAAUAUCAAAACUUGAUCUUUGUAAAAAUACAGAAAACAUUCAACUGUGAAAUAUAACUUUAAAUUCGUUAUCAAGUAUUAGUGUUCGCUCAAGUGGAAAUUAAUAAUAAACAA